UUUAUAUAGCGCCAACAGUUUACGCAGCGCUUAAUACAAUACAUAUAUUCAAGGGGUAUGACAAGACAAGAAUUGACAGACUAAGACAAACCGAUACAUUAGGUGGAGAGAGCCCGGCUCACAAGCUUACAAUCUUGAGGCAAUGGGGUGACAAACAUAAGGCACAGAGAAAGGGUGAGAGGUAGUGUGGUGGUUGUAUCAGUGACAGGGAAGUUCUAGCAGCUAAGAUGAUGCGGCUUCUCUGAAGAAGUGGGUUUUUAGAUGUUUCUUGAAUGUCGGGAGGGAGGGUGAAUGCUGAAGGUUCCUUGGGAGUAGAUUCCAGAGAUAAGGGGCAGCCCGAGUGAAAUCUUGUAGACGGGAAAAGGAAGAGGUGAUAAGUGAGGAGGAGAGCCUUAGCCCAUGGGAAGAAUGUAGUGAAAA
Molecule: long non-coding RNA, 420 nt
Organism: Spea bombifrons (plains spadefoot toad)
Lineage: Eukaryota; Metazoa; Chordata; Amphibia; Anura; Pelobatidae
Exons: 2
Source: RefSeq, a predicted model, not a curated record